UUACUACUCCCUUCGUCCUAAAAUUCAUAUCUUAAAUUUUUUUAGAUAUGAAUGUAUCUAGAUAAUAAAUGCGAUUAGAUACAUUCAUAUCUGCACAAAUUCAAGAUAAUAAUUUUGGAACGAAGGGACCGAAGA
Molecule: non-coding RNA, 135 nt
Organism: Hordeum vulgare subsp. vulgare (domesticated barley)
Lineage: Eukaryota; Viridiplantae; Streptophyta; Magnoliopsida; Poales; Poaceae
Source: Rfam